GAACUAAAGAGUUUGAUCCUGGCUCAGAUUGAACGCUGGCGGCAUGCUUUACACAUGCAAGUCGAACGGUAACAGGCCUUCGGGCGCUGACGAGUGGCGAACGGGUGAGUAAUGCAUCGGAACGUGCCCAGUCGUGGGGGAUAACUACUCGAAAGAGUAGCUAAUACCGCAUACGAUCUAUGGAUGAAAGCGGGGGACCGUAAGGCCUCGCGCGAUUGGAGCGGCCGAUGUCAGAUUAGGUAGUUGGUGGGGUAA
RNAcentral lists this ribosomal RNA (255 nucleotides) under Hydrogenophaga sp. RNAcentral's name for it is "partial 16S ribosomal RNA". It matches the Rfam family "Bacterial small subunit ribosomal RNA", at positions 1 to 260 of the family's 1533-position model. Lineage: Bacteria; Pseudomonadati; Pseudomonadota; Betaproteobacteria; Burkholderiales; Comamonadaceae. The record is from RNAcentral.